GGCCUUGACAUACUAAGAACUUUCCAGAGAUGGAUUGGUGCCUUCGGGAACUUAGAUACAGGUGCUGCAUGGCUGUCGUCAGCUCGUGUCGUGAGAUGUUGGGUUAAGUCCGCAACGAGCGCAACCUUUCCUUAUUUGCCAGCGGGUAAUGCCGGGAACUUUAAGGAUACUGCCAGUGACAAACUGGAGGAAGGCGGGGACGACGUCAAGUCAUCAUGGCCCUUACGGCCAGGGCUACACACGUGCUACAAUGGUCGGUACAAAGGGUUGCUACCUCGCGAGAGGAUGCUAAUCUCAAAAAGCCGAUCGUAGUCCGGAUCGCAGUCUGCAACUCGACUGCGUGAAGUCGGAAUCGCUAGUAAUCGCGGAUCAGAAUGCCGCGGUGAAUACGUUCCCGGGCCUUGUACACACCGCCCGUCACACCAUGGGAGUUUGUUGCACCAGAAGUAGGUAGUCUAACCGCAGGGAGGACGCUUACCACGGUGUGGCCGAUGACUGGGGUGAAGUCGUAACAAGGUAGGCGUAGAUGA
RNAcentral lists this ribosomal RNA (530 nucleotides) under uncultured bacterium. RNAcentral describes it as "bacterial SSU rRNA". It matches the Rfam family "Bacterial small subunit ribosomal RNA", at positions 977 to 1509 of the family's 1533-position model. The record is from RNAcentral.